This 492-nucleotide ribosomal RNA is filed under the name uncultured bacterium. RNAcentral's name for it is "partial 16S ribosomal RNA". It matches the Rfam family "Bacterial small subunit ribosomal RNA", at positions 29 to 507 of the family's 1533-position model. The record is from RNAcentral.
AGUGAACGCUGGCGGUAGGCCUAACACAUGCAAGUCGAACGGCAGCACAGUAAGAGCUUGCUCUUACGGGUGGCGAGUGGCGGACGGGUGAGGAAUACAUCGGAAUCUACUUUUUCGUGGGGGAUAACGUAGGGAAACUUACGCUAAUACCGCAUACGACCUACGGGUGAAAGCAGGGGAUCUUCGGACCUUGCGCGAUUGAACGAGCCGAUGUCGGAUUAGCUAGUUGGCGGGGUAAAGGCCCACCAAGGCGACGAUCCGUAGCUGGUCUGAGAGGAUGAUCAGCCACACUGGAACUGAGACACGGUCCAGACUCCUACGGGAGGCAGCAGUGGGGAAUAUUGGACAAUGGGCGCAAGCCUGAUCCAGCCAUACCGCGUGGGUGAAGAAGGCCUUCGGGUUGUAAAGCCCUUUUGUUGGGAAAGAAAAGCAGCAGGUUAAUACCCCGCUGUUCUGACGGUACCCAAAGAAUAAGCACCGGCUAACCUCGUG